GAGAGUUUGAUCCUGGCUCAGGACGAACGCUGGCGGCGUGCCUAAUACAUGCAAGUCGAACGCUCUUUUCUUAUCGAACUUCGGUUCACCGAGAAAAGGGAGUGGCGAACGGGUGAGUAACACGUGGGUAACCUACCCAUCAGCGGGGGAUAACACUUGGAAACAGGUGCUAAUACCGCAUAAUUCUUUUCUUCGCCUGAAGGGAAGAUGAAAGACGCUUUUGCGUCACUGAUGGAUGGACCCGCGCUGCAUUAGCUAGUUGGUGGGGUAACGGCUCACCAAGGCCACGAUGUAUAGCCGACCUGAGAGGGUGAUCGGCCACACUGGGACUGAGACACGGCCCAGACUCCUACGGGAGGCAGCAGUAGGGAAUCUUCGGCAAUGGACGGAAGUCUGACCGAGCAACGCCGCGUGAGUGAAGAAGGUUUUCGGAUCGUAAAACUCUGUUGUUAGAGAAGAACAAGGAUGAGAGUAGAAUGUUCAUCCCUUGACGGUAUCUAACCAGAAAGCCACGGCUAACUA
Molecule: ribosomal RNA, 522 nt
Filed under: swine manure pit bacterium PPC27B
Lineage: Bacteria
Description: bacterial SSU rRNA
Rfam family: Bacterial small subunit ribosomal RNA
Source: RNAcentral